GUCAAGGUCAAAAACUUUGGUUUCAGUUGACAACCCUGUGUCCUGUGGUGAAGAUCGUCUCCGCUCCAUAUCUAGAUAACCGUUAUGAUUUCAAAGUUUAUACUUGACAUCUAUUUUAACCACCACCAGAGGGUGUGUCAUGAUGUAUGUACAACUUCCUAGGUCAAAGGUCAAGGUCAAAAAAAACUUUGGUUUCAGUUGACAACCCUGUGUCCUGUGGUGAAGAUCGUGUCCGCUCUAUAUCUUGAGAACCGUUAUGAUUUCAAAUAUUAUACUUGACAUCCAUUUUAACAAACACCAGAGGGUGUGUCAUGAUGUAUGUACAACUUCCUAGGUCAAAGGUCUGUCUGUCUGUUGGUCUGUCCAUCGCUAACAAAUUUGAUCAACUUAUUUACCCCACGUUAUUGACAGCGGGGCCCACAGAGAUGGCUCCCAUCUCAAUGGUAUCUAGUU
This 453-nucleotide long non-coding RNA is filed under the name Mytilus galloprovincialis (Mediterranean mussel). The record is from RNAcentral. Lineage: Eukaryota; Metazoa; Mollusca; Bivalvia; Mytilida; Mytilidae.